RNAcentral lists this ribosomal RNA (492 nucleotides) under uncultured bacterium. RNAcentral's name for it is "partial 16S ribosomal RNA". It matches the Rfam family "Bacterial small subunit ribosomal RNA", at positions 29 to 507 of the family's 1533-position model. The record is from RNAcentral.
AGUGAACGCUGGCGGUAGGCCUAACACAUGCAAGUCGAACGGCAGCACAGUAAGAGCUUGCUCUUACGGGUGGCGAGUGGCGGACGGGUGAGGAAUACAUCGGAAUCUACUUUUUCGUGGGGGAUAACGUAGGGAAACUUACGCUAAUACCGCAUACGACCUACGGUUGAAAGCAGGGGAUCUUCGCACCUUGCGCGAUUGAAUGAGCCGAUGUCGGAUUAGCUAGUUGGCGGGGUAAAGGCCCACCAAGGCGACGAUCCGUAGCUGGUCUGAGAGGAUGAUCAGCCACACUGGAACUGAGACACGGUCCAGACUCCUACGGGAGGCAGCAGUGGGGAAUAUUGGACAAUGGGCGCAAGCCUGAUCCAGCCAUACCGCGUGGGUGAAGAAGGCCUUCGGGUUGUAAAGCCCUUUUGUUGGGAAAGAAAAGCAGCAGGUUAAUACCCCGCUGUUCUGACGGUACCCAAAGAAUAAGCACCGGCUAACUUCGUG